UGUGGCGGACGGGUGAGUAACACGUGGGUGACCUGCCCUUUGGUGAGGAAUACCGGCGAGAAAUCGCCGACAAUACCGCAUACGCUCUCACGCAAAGCUUCGCCAGAGGAUGGGCCUGCGUCCGAUUAGCUGGUUGGUGGGGUAAGAGCCUACCAAGGCGACGAUCGGUAGCUGGUCUGAGAGGACGAUCAGCCACACUGGGAUUGAGAACGGCCCAGACUCCUACGGGAGGCAGCAGUGAGGAAUUUUCGGCAAUGGGGGCAACCCUGACCGAGCAACGCCGCGUGCAGGAAGAAGGUCUUCGGAUCGUAAACUGCUUUUCUCGGGGAAGAGAGACGGUACCCGAGGAAUCAGCCCCGGCUAACUACGUGCCAGCAGCCGCGGUAAUACGUAGGGGGCGAGCGUUGUCCGGAUUUACUGGGCGUAAAGCGCACGCAGGCGGUCUGCUAAGUUCGGAGUGACAGUCACCAGCUUAACUGGUGAAGGACUUUGAAAAC
RNAcentral lists this ribosomal RNA (497 nucleotides) under uncultured soil bacterium. RNAcentral's name for it is "bacterial SSU rRNA". It matches the Rfam family "Bacterial small subunit ribosomal RNA", at positions 94 to 633 of the family's 1533-position model. The record is from RNAcentral.